AUUGAACGCUGGCGGCAUGCCUUACACAUGCAAGUCGAACGGCAGCACGGGUGCUUGCACCUGGUGGCGAGUGGCGAACGGGGGAGUAAUACAUCGGAACAUGUCCUGUAGUGGGGGAUAGCCCGGCGAAAGCCGGAUUAAUACCGCAUACGAUCUACGGAUGAAAGCGGGGGACCUUCGGGCCUAGCGCUAUAGGGUUGGCCGAUGGCUGAUUAGCUAGUUGGUGGGGUAAAGGCCUACCAAGGCGACGAUCAGUAGCCGGUCUGAGAGGACGACCAGCCACACUGGAACUGAGACACGGCCCAGACUCCUACGGGAGGCAGCAGUGGGGAAUUUUGGACAAUGGGCGAAAGCCUGAUCCAGCAAUGCCGCGUGUGUGAAGAAGGCCUUCGGGUUGUAAAGCACUGUUGUCCGGAAAGAAAUCCUUGGCCCUAAUACGGUCGGGGGAUGACGGUACCGGAAGAAUAAGCACCGGCUAACUACGUG
Molecule: ribosomal RNA, 486 nt
Filed under: uncultured bacterium
Lineage: Bacteria
Description: partial 16S ribosomal RNA
Rfam family: Bacterial small subunit ribosomal RNA
Source: RNAcentral